AAGGCCUUCGGGUUGUAAACCGCUUUUGGUCGGAAAGAAAGGCGCUCUCUAAUACGGGGCGCUCUUGACGGUACCGGCAGAAUAAGCACCGGCUAACUACGUGC
RNAcentral lists this ribosomal RNA (104 nucleotides) under uncultured bacterium. Its description in RNAcentral is "partial 16S ribosomal RNA". The record is from RNAcentral.